Molecule: long non-coding RNA, 220 nt
Filed under: Mytilus galloprovincialis (Mediterranean mussel)
Lineage: Eukaryota; Metazoa; Mollusca; Bivalvia; Mytilida; Mytilidae
Source: RNAcentral
AUGAAAUUUAAUAAAUUGUUGAGAUCUCUCUCCUAAACUUUAUUUGUAUUCUCGCUUUUCGAGUUAUAAUUAACUGAAUGAUAUAUAUAAUCCUUGGGGUAUGUAUAUGUAUAAGGACUUCGUUUGACAGAUGUUACAAUCAUUCUUUAUUUAUACUACUUUCUUAAAAUUACUUAUAGUUGAUUCCAGUACAGGAUCCCUCAAGGUUCCUCUUCACCAG